RNAcentral lists this ribosomal RNA (549 nucleotides) under uncultured Glomus. RNAcentral's name for it is "SSU rRNA". It matches the Rfam family "Eukaryotic small subunit ribosomal RNA", at positions 548 to 1098 of the family's 1831-position model. Lineage: Eukaryota; Fungi; Glomeromycota; Glomeromycetes; Glomerales; Glomeraceae. The record is from RNAcentral.
UUGGAGGGCAAGUCUGGUGCCAGCAGCCGCGGUAAUUCCAGCUCCAAUAGCGUAUAUUAAAGUUGUUGCAGUUAAAAAGCUCGUAGUUGAAUUUCGGGAUCAAUUAGUCGGUCGUGCCUCUGGUACGUACUGGUUUUAUUGGUUCCUCCCUUCUGACGAAACAUGAUGUCAUUAAUUUGGUGUCGUGGAGAAUCAGGACUGUUACCUUGAAAAAAUUAGAGUGUUUAUAGCAGGCUAACGCUUGAAUACAUUAGCAUGGAAUAAUGAAAUAGGACGUUCGACCCUAUUUUGUUGGUUUCUAGGAUCGACGUAAUGAUUAAUAGGGAUAGUUGGGGGCAUUAGUAUUCAAUUGUCAGAGGUGAAAUUCUUGGAUUUAUUGAAGACUAACUACUGCGAAAGCAUUUGCCAAGGAUGUUUUCAUUAAUCAAGAACGAAAGUUAGGGGAUCGAAGACGAUCAGAUACCGUCGUAGUCUUAACCAUAAACUAUGCCGACUAGGGAUCGGAUGAUGUUAAUUUUUUAAUGACUCAUUCGGCGCCUUACGGGAAAC